This 146-nucleotide non-coding RNA is filed under the name Amphibacillus xylanus. RNAcentral describes it as "GlcN6P sequence". It matches the Rfam family "glmS glucosamine-6-phosphate activated ribozyme aptamer". Rfam says of the family: This entry contains a glucosamine-6-phosphate activated ribozyme that is found in the mRNA for GlmS. GlmS is an enzyme that uses fructose-6-phosphate and glutamine to generate glucosamine-6-phosphate. Lineage: Bacteria; Bacillati; Bacillota; Bacilli; Caryophanales; Bacillaceae. RNAcentral also lists the same sequence under 1 other name. The record is from RNAcentral.
AUAUAAAUAUAAGCGCCAGACCAUUACAGUGGUUGACGAGGAUUGAGGUUAUCGAAAAUUCGGCGGAUGCCUCAAGGGUUUCACAAUCCAAGAAUACUCUAAAAAAUAGAAGUAAUUCUAUAACAACAGAGUAUUCACGUGAUAUC